CUAUUAAACUGUUUUGAUAAAUUUUAGAAUUUCGUCAGACAUAUUCGCUUGUAUGAAUUUAAUUUGAAUUGAAACGUGUAACGAAUGAUUUUCCUUAUUUAUUUAUUUGUUUUAUUAUCAUUAGAAAAGCAACAAAAUUUCGAAAAAGAUGGCUCUUUUAAUUAAGAAUUGCUUCGCAGUAUUCCAUGUCCCAUAGCUACAGGGAAUUAAAU
This is a non-coding RNA of Paramuricea clavata, 212 nucleotides long. The record is from the annotation of a GenBank genome assembly. Lineage: Eukaryota; Metazoa; Cnidaria; Anthozoa; Malacalcyonacea; Plexauridae.